RNAcentral lists this long non-coding RNA (698 nucleotides) under Volvox carteri. RNAcentral describes it as "long non-coding RNA (VCAR_LNC001254)". The record is from RNAcentral. Lineage: Eukaryota; Viridiplantae; Chlorophyta; Chlorophyceae; Chlamydomonadales; Volvocaceae.
CGGAACAUACUUCUUGGGGCUUCGUUGUCUUUUUGGAGAUGUGAAAGCUUGGCGUUUUAGGUCUGCGAUGUGUGUGUGUGGUCCACAUUGCAGGAACACAGCCAACUAGUCCAGAUAAGGCCAAAACUGAACCGACGACGACGCGGAACAACUUCGGGAGAACACAUAGACGGGUAUGCACAGCACAGAGGCAACUGUGGGGCGGCACCGCCACCGCCACCGCCACCGCCACCGUGUGUGUGUAUGUGUGUAUGUGUGUGUGUAUGUGUGUGUGUGUGUAUGUGUGUGUGCGUGUGUGUGUGUAUAUGUGUGUGUGUGUGCGUGUGUGUGUGUGCGUGUGCGUGUGUGUGUGUGUUGGGGGCCAGGAAGGCGGCCUCUGGUAUUUGGUUGUCGGAUUACUUCCAUUCUGCUCUCGCCUCUCGCCUCUUGCCUCCCGAACCGAUGGAACGGAGUUGGGAGUCGGAGUCAGGCGUGGAGUUAGGGUUGGAUGGGAAUGGGUUGGUGGUGGUUUGCUGUUCGAGGUGGGCGUGAGCUCGCCUUUGAGAGGGCUUUGGUAGGGCUCAAUUCUUGUGCGCCUUGUGUACUUUUGGCGGACAAGGUAUUAUUGCUACGGUGGGACAUAUUACCGCUGAUGGUUGUUGUUUAUGUGUGUGUGUGCUGGAACGCUGAGGAGGGACUAUGCUGGGACGAGCGAAUCG